CUAAGAGCUCUCUGGAAGAUA
RNAcentral lists this microRNA (21 nucleotides) under Anolis carolinensis (green anole). RNAcentral describes it as "aca-miR-5445". The record is from miRBase by way of RNAcentral. Lineage: Eukaryota; Metazoa; Chordata; Lepidosauria; Squamata; Anolidae.